RNAcentral lists this ribosomal RNA (472 nucleotides) under uncultured organism. RNAcentral describes it as "partial 16S ribosomal RNA". It matches the Rfam family "Bacterial small subunit ribosomal RNA", at positions 331 to 796 of the family's 1533-position model. The record is from RNAcentral.
GUACACUCCUACGGGAGGCAGCAGUGGGGAAUAUUGCACAAUGGGCGCAAGCCUGAUGCAGCCAUGCCGCGUGUAUGAAGAAGGCCUUCGGGUUGUAAAGUACUUUCAGCGGGGAGGAAGGCGAUAGGUUAAUAACCUUGUCGAUUGACGUUACCCGCAGAAGAAGCACCGGCUAACUCCGUGCCAGCAGCCGCGGUAAUACGGAGGGUGCAAGCGUUAAUCGGAAUUACUGGGCGUAAAGCGCACGCAGGCGGUCUGUCAAGUCGGAUGUGAAAUCCCCGGGCUCAACCUGGGAACUGCAUUCGAAACUGGCAGGCUAGAGUCGUGUAGAGGGGGGUAGAAUUCCAGGUGUAGCGGUGAAAUGCGUAGAGAUCUGGAGGAAUACCGGUGGCGAAGGCGGCCCCCUGGACAAAGACUGACGCUCAGGUGCGAAAGCGUGGGGAGCAAACAGGAUUAGAAACCCCAGUAGUCC